Molecule: ribosomal RNA, 379 nt
Filed under: uncultured bacterium
Lineage: Bacteria
Description: bacterial SSU rRNA
Rfam family: Bacterial small subunit ribosomal RNA
Source: RNAcentral
AGAUGCUUUGGUGCCUUCGGGAACUCUGAGACAGGUGCUGCAUGGCUGUCGUCAGCUCGUGUUGUGAAAUGUUGGGUUAAGUCCCGCAACGAGCGCAACCCUUAUCCUUUGUUGCCAGCGAUUCGGUCGGGGAACUCAAAGGAGACUGCCGGUGAUAAACCGGAGGAAGGUGGGGAUGACGUCAAGUCAUCAUGGCCCUUACGGCCAGGGCUACACACGUGCUACAAUGGCGCAUACAAAGAGAAGCGACCUCGCGAGAGCAAGCGGACCUCAUAAAGUGCGUCGUAGUCCGGAUUGGAGUCUGCAACUCGACUCCAUGAAGUCGGAAUCGCUAGUAAUCGUAGAUCAGAAUGCUACGGUGAAUACGUUCCCGGGUCUG